CAGUCGAGCGGAAGAAGGGAGCUUGCUCCCGGAUGUUAGCGGCGGACGGGUGAGUAACACGUGGGUAACCUGCCUGUAAGACUGGGAUAACUCCGGGAAACCGGAGCUAAUACCGGAUAGUUCCUUGAACCGCAUGGUUCAAGGAUGAAAGACGGUUUCGGCUGUCACUUACAGAUGGACCCGCGGCGCAUUAGCUAGUUGGUGAGGUAACGGCUCACCAAGGCGACGAUGCGUAGCCGACCUGAGAGGGUGAUCGGCCACACUGGGACUGAGACACGGCCCAGACUCCUACGGGAGGCAGCAGUAGGGAAUCUUCCGCAAUGGACGAAAGUCUGACGGAGCAACGCCGCGUGAGUGAUGAAGGUUUUCGGAUCGUAAAGCUCUGUUGUUAGGGAAGAACAAGUGCAAGAGUAACUGCUUGCACCUUGACGGUACCUAACCAGAAAGCCACGGCUAACUACGUGCCAGCAGCCGCGGUAAUACGUAGGUGGCAAGCGUUGUCCGGAAUUAUUGGGCGUAAAGGGCUCGCAGGCGGUUUCUUAAGUCUGAUGUGAAAGCCCCCGGCUCAACCGGGGAGGGUCAUUGGAAACUGGGAAACUUGAGUGCAGAAGAGGAGAGUGGAAUUCCACGUGUAGCGGUGAAAUGCGUAGAGAUGUGGAGGAACACCAGUGGCGAA
RNAcentral lists this ribosomal RNA (676 nucleotides) under Bacillus sp. FJAT-4339. RNAcentral's name for it is "bacterial SSU rRNA". It matches the Rfam family "Bacterial small subunit ribosomal RNA", at positions 59 to 719 of the family's 1533-position model. Lineage: Bacteria; Bacillati; Bacillota; Bacilli; Caryophanales; Bacillaceae. The record is from RNAcentral.